CGUUUCUUAAAAAUUAUACAUUAAUUCCCACUAUUUAAAUCCCUAGAAUGACAUAUUCGAUCAUUUCUGUAGGAUAACAAGUUAUUGGUAAACUACAUUCACCAUAGAUAUCUUAUAUACACUAAAUAGCGCAUGUCUUUUAGUAAAAUUGAAGUCAAGAAUAUUCCAGCGGUUACCCCCAUUUGAAUAGAUGGCGGCCCUGUUGAUAGUUCCAACUAGAGGUGUGCAUCGGAUCGGAUUGGACGUUUAUAAUCCGACAAUUGCCUAAUGGUUAAAAUCCGAUCCGAUCCGAAAUUAUCUGAUCCGAAUCCGAUCCGAGUUUUGAAAA
Paramuricea clavata is the source of this 328-nucleotide non-coding RNA. The record is from the annotation of a GenBank genome assembly. Lineage: Eukaryota; Metazoa; Cnidaria; Anthozoa; Malacalcyonacea; Plexauridae.